CCGGAAGUGUGUUAGCGUAACUCCGCUAGCUCCACGGUAGCAGUGGGGGGUUGGCUAGAUCCCCGGUGGAGAGCAGAAAAGCCCCGGCGCCGCCUUCAUCCCGCCCCGCAGAAGCACCACCGUCUCCUCGAUGACUGACAGCCGCGUUUGGUGUCGGGGAUCCGGACAAGUUUCCGCUCCGACUCCUCCUCGACCUCCCAACCCGCUCACCUUGCUUCCAACUCGAAGGCUCCGCUUGCUUCACAUCGCCUGCGGGUAAAAUCCCCUCUCAUUCCUGGAGUGUUGGCGGCGAGUAUCCAUGGUCCCGUACCAGGAAGUCCGGAGCACUUCUGAAAGUCGGUGUGUGGGGGGGAAGGAUCCAGGAUCCCAGCCAGGUAGCAGAAAGCGCCGCCCGCCGGGCUGGUCUGAUCCCAGCGGCUGGAGCUGCUGCAGUCCCACCUGCUGAAACCUCCACACCUGCUCAGCUCAACUAAAAACCUUCUCAUCCCUCCCAAUAAAACACUAAAGUCUCCA
Xiphophorus hellerii (green swordtail) is the source of this 513-nucleotide long non-coding RNA. RefSeq lists it as uncharacterized. Lineage: Eukaryota; Metazoa; Chordata; Actinopteri; Cyprinodontiformes; Poeciliidae. The transcript is spliced from 2 exons. The record is from RefSeq and is a predicted model, not a curated record.